This 28-nucleotide non-coding RNA is filed under the name Homo sapiens (human). The record is from RNAcentral. Lineage: Eukaryota; Metazoa; Chordata; Mammalia; Primates; Hominidae.
UAGAUCAGGCUCUAGACUGGGUGUUGGU